Molecule: ribosomal RNA, 438 nt
Filed under: uncultured bacterium
Lineage: Bacteria
Description: bacterial SSU rRNA
Rfam family: Bacterial small subunit ribosomal RNA
Source: RNAcentral
AUGAGUAAAGCGGCGUACGGGUGAGUAACACGUGGAUGAUCUACCUUUUAGUGGGGGAUAACUUUGGGAAACCGAAGCUAAUACCGCAUAAGCCUGAAGAGGGAAAGCAGCAAUGCGCUGAAAGAGGAGUCCGCGGCCGAUUAGCUAGUUGGUGAGGUAACGGCCCACCAAGGCGAUGAUCGGUAGCCGGCCUGAGAGGGCACACGGCCACACUGGCACUGAAACACGGGCCAGACUCCUACGGGAGGCAGCAGUGGGGAAUCUUGCACAAUGGGGGCAACCCUGAUGCAGCGACGCCGCGUGAACGAUGAAGCCCUUCGGGGUGUAAAGUUCUUUCGGCAGGGACGAUAAUGACGGUACCUGAAGAAGAAGCUGCGGCUAACUACGUGCCAGCAGCCGCGGUAAUACGUAGGCAGCGAGCGUUGUUCGGAAUUACUG